CUGGACUGCUGGUGUAUCUGUGAAGUGUUUACGAGUGGCUGGAGCUGCUGCUGCUAACCUGUGAACUGAACUGCUGACUUCCAGACAACAAAGAUGAACGUUGCUCCAAAGAAGCAUUUCUGAACUCGCCUACCUCCUUUUCCACUACCUCUGGACACACGGUUCAGAGCAGUCUGCAGGCUCCUGUUGUUCCUUGUGCCUCUCCACUUUCCUCCUGACCAGGCGGGCCUGUGUGCCCUCCAAGGCCUUGCGUGCUUUAACAGUCCAGCAUUUCUUUACACAGGUAAAUGAAUUAAGGUUCUUGAUUAUUUACUCUGGGCAGUUCUUACUAAAAGGUAAAUCUACUGAGUGGGCUGGUAGAUGGACAUUUUGAAGGGAAUAGUACUGGUCAAGAAGUCUGGCUGUAGUGAGCAAAGGAGCCAGCAUUAAAGGGUGCAGGUCAGCAGACCGCAGGCUGGUUCACAAACAUCUUGUCAGUGAAAUCACGUGCAGUGAACACAGGCAAGCAGGUUCCCAGGGUACGGAUACAAAGUCCCGAAUCUUGCUCAAUAUUAGGGACACAGAGGGAAGCUCUCUUCUUUCCUGGAUUCUCUGGGUUAGAUGUACAAUCUUCUGAAUUGUUUGAGGCUAUAAAAGAUGCAGUUUAUGAGGCCAUGGAGGACUUGGGAUUCUUGGCCUGGGUGCAGGGUGGUGCCUGCUUGGUGGAAGCUGCACAGGCUAGGGAGCAAGGCAGGUGGUUUGUCUGUCUGUCUGUCUGUCUGUCUGUCUUUAUGGGCUGAGGAGGGAGUGUGCUUUAGUGUCAAAGAGAAGCUUGUUCUAAUGCAUGGGUUUUCUUUCUCUUCUCAUGUUAUGUCCUCUACAAAGCCUUCCCUUCCCCACUGAGUGUUUUAUGGGUGGGGAUUUAAUUCCCCAGAGACCUCCAGGCCAGGGCCUAAUUCUUACCCUCCAGGGUAGAACUCAGAGCCUUGUUUGCUCAUAUCUGAGACACAAGUUGUAGAGAGAGAGAGAGAGAGAGAGAGAGAGAGGCCUGGCAUGGGUCUUUGAAAUCCAAAAGCCUACUCCUAGAGACACAUCUCCUCCAACAAGGCCACACCUACUCCAGAAAGGCCACACCUCCUAGACUUUUUCGAGUAGUUCCACUAACUUGGGAUAAUGCAUUCAAUUGUACGAGCCUGUGAGGACCAUUCUCCUUCAAAGUACCAUGAUAUGUAAAGACAUAUAUGUUCCUAAAUAUAACCUAUUUACUCUGUAAAAUGCUACCUGUAUGUUUGGUUUUAUGGCUGACUGACACUGGACAACCAAUUGUUGUGCUUGUCUCUGGGGAAGACCGCUCCUCCCUUCCCCAGCUUUCCUCAGCUGCCUUUAGCUCCUAGAGCACAAUCCCAAUGGCUAUGUCUACAAGACACCUCGCACCAAAGGCCCAGGGACCAUUAUGGAAGAGGGAAGAAAAGAUCGAAAGAGCCAGAAGAUCAGGGACUCUGCUGUGAGAUUGUGUCUCCUAGUCCCAUCAGAAACUACACCCAUGAAGUCUCACCAUCAUGACUGUCAAAGGAGCAGGAGGAGCAGCAAGAGGGCAAAGAGGAACAUCAAG
Mus musculus (house mouse) is the source of this 1591-nucleotide long non-coding RNA. RefSeq annotates it as predicted gene, 39745. Lineage: Eukaryota; Metazoa; Chordata; Mammalia; Rodentia; Muridae. The transcript is spliced from 3 exons. The record is from RefSeq and is a predicted model, not a curated record.